AUGAUGGAGCUACCAGGGAGGCAUUAUUGGGUCUUUAGUGUCAACUUGAGGGACGGACGCUUCGAAGUUCUUGAUUCAAGCAGGACGCUGGACAACAUUGAGCUGAUGAACAACGCCUCUACCAUUGCGGGGGCAGUACGCCAGCUAUGGAGGAAGCAUUACCCAAAGUUCAGCUUCGAGCACUUCCAGAUAAUUGACAUUGACGUACCAAAGCAGCUUGGCAAUAAUGAGUGUGGGUUGUUUGCACUGCUUAACGCCACCGAGUGGAAUGGUAGCCAACUGCCCAACUACGACCCCAAGGAAGUACUCAACAUCAGGAAGAAGCUGGCGUAUGAUUGGGUCACCAGCGUGCACAACACCGCCCCAUGGAGGAAGUUGCUGAGAUACGACAAGGAGUAG
RNAcentral lists this ribosomal RNA (399 nucleotides) under Triticum aestivum (bread wheat). RNAcentral describes it as "partial small subunit ribosomal RNA". The record is from RNAcentral. Lineage: Eukaryota; Viridiplantae; Streptophyta; Magnoliopsida; Poales; Poaceae.